CGGACGGGUGAGUAAUGUCUGGGAAACUGCCCGAUAGAGGGGGAUAACUACUGGAAACGGUAGCUAAUACCGCAUAACGUCGCAAGACCAAAGAGGGGGACCUUAGGGCCUCUUGCCAUCGGAUGUGCCCAGAUGGGAUUAGCUAGUAGGUGGGGUAAUGGCUCACCUAGGCGACGAUCCCUAGCUGGUCUGAGAGGAUGACCAGCCACACUGGAACUGAGACACGGUCCAG
RNAcentral lists this ribosomal RNA (232 nucleotides) under uncultured bacterium. Its description in RNAcentral is "partial 16S ribosomal RNA". It matches the Rfam family "Bacterial small subunit ribosomal RNA", at positions 99 to 334 of the family's 1533-position model. The record is from RNAcentral.